Molecule: ribosomal RNA, 491 nt
Filed under: uncultured bacterium
Lineage: Bacteria
Description: partial 16S ribosomal RNA
Rfam family: Bacterial small subunit ribosomal RNA
Source: RNAcentral
AGUGAACGCUGGCGGUAGGCCUAACACAUGCAAGUCGAACGGCAGCACAGUAAGAGCUUGCUCUUACGGGUGGCGAGUGGCGGACGGGUGAGGAAUACAUCGGAAUCUACUUUUUCGUGGGGGAUAACGUAGGGAAACUUACGCUAAUACCGCAUACGACCUACGGGUGAAAGCAGGGGAUCUUCGGACCUUGCGCGAUUGAAUGAGCCGAUGUCGGAUUAGCUAGUUGGCGGGGUAAAGGCCCACCAAGGCGACGAUCCGUAGCUGGUCUGAGAGGAUGAUCAGCCACACUGGAACUGAGACACGGUCCAGACUCCUACGGGAGGCAGCAGUGGGGAAUAUUGGACAAUGGGCGCAAGCCUGAUCCAGCCCUACCGCGUGGGUGAAGAAGGCCUUCGGGUUGUAAAGCCCUUUUGUUGGGAAAGAAAAGCAGCAGGUUAAGACCCCGCUGUUCUGACGGUACCCAAAGAAUAAGCACCGGCUAACUUCGU